CCUACGGGCCGCAGCAGUAGGGAAUCUUCGGCAAUGGACGAAAGUCUGACCGAGCAACGCCGCGUGAGUGAAGAAGGUUCUCGGAUCGUAAAACUCUGUUGGUAGAGAAGAACGAUGGUGAGAGUGGAAAGCUCAUCAAGUGACGGUAACUACCCAGAAAGGGACGGCUAACUACGUGCCAGCAGCCGCGGUAAUACGUAGGUCCCGAGCGUUGUCCGGAUUUAUUGGGCGUAAAGCGAGCGCAGGUGGUUUAUUAAGUCUGGUGUAAAAGGCAGUGGCUCAACCAUUGUAUGCAUUGGAAACUGGUAGACUUGAGUGCAGGAGAGGAGAGUGGAAUUCCAUGUGUAGCGGUGAAAUGCGUAGAUAUAUGGAGGGACACCGGUGGCGAAAGCGGCUCUCUGGCCUGUAACUGACACUGAGGCUCGAAAGCGUGGGGAGCAAACAGGAUUAGAUACCCUUGUAGUC
Molecule: ribosomal RNA, 465 nt
Filed under: uncultured bacterium
Lineage: Bacteria
Description: bacterial SSU rRNA
Rfam family: Bacterial small subunit ribosomal RNA
Source: RNAcentral